Molecule: ribosomal RNA, 492 nt
Filed under: uncultured bacterium
Lineage: Bacteria
Description: partial 16S ribosomal RNA
Rfam family: Bacterial small subunit ribosomal RNA
Source: RNAcentral
AGUGAACGCUGGCGGUAGGCCUAACACAUGCAAGUCGAACGGCAGCACAGUAAGAGCUUGCUCUUACGGGUGGCGAGUGGCGGACGGGUGAGGAAUACAUCGGAAUCUACUUUUUCGUGGGGGAUAACGUAGGGAAACUUACGCUAAUACCGCAUACGACCUACGGGUGAAAGCAAGGGAUCUUCGGACCUUGCGCGAUUGAAUGAGCCGAUGUCGGAUUAGCUAGUUGGCGGGGUAAAGGCCCACCAAGGCGACGAUCCGUAGCUGGUCUGAGAGGAUGAUCAGCCACACUGGAACUGAGACACGGUCCAGACUCCUACGGGAGGCAGCAGUGGGGAAUAUUAGACAAUGGGCGCAAGCCUGAUCCAGCCAUACCGCGUGGGUGAAGAAGGCGUUCGGGUUGUAAAGCCCUUUUGUUGGGAAAGAAAAGCAGCAGGUUAAUACCCCGCUGUUCUGACGGUACCCAAAGAAUAAGCACCGGCUAACUUCGUG